GGAAGUAAAAGUCGUAAACAAGGUUUCCGUAGGUGAACCUGCGGAAGGAUCAUUAUUGUAUAACCGAGGUGCGAGGGCUGUCGCUGACCCGAAAGGUCGUGCACGCCCGAGUGCCCUCACACACAUCCAUCUCACCCCUAUGUGCACCACCGCAUGGGUCCCCCUUUGGCUUGUUCGGAGGGGGGCUUACGUUUUCACACAAACUUUGUAUGCAGUGUAGAAUGUAUUUUUUGUUUUUGCGAUCACGCAAUCAAUACAACUUUCAACAACGGAUCUCUUGGCUCUC
RNAcentral lists this unclassified non-coding RNA (286 nucleotides) under plant metagenome. RNAcentral describes it as "partial contains small subunit ribosomal RNA, internal transcribed spacer 1, and 5.8S ribosomal RNA". The stretch from base 1 to 55 matches the Rfam family "Eukaryotic small subunit ribosomal RNA", at positions 1778 to 1831 of the family's 1831-position model. The record is from RNAcentral.